UGGGGAAUAUUGGACAAUGGGGGCAACCCUGAUCCAGCAAUACCGCGUGUGUGAAGAAGGCCUGCGGGUUGUAAAGCACUUUAGUUGGGGAGGAAGGUAAGAAGUCGAAUAGGCUUUUUAAUUGACGUUACCCAAAGAAUAAGCACCGGCUAACUCUGUGCCAGCAGCCGCGGUAAUACAGAGGGUGCGAGCGUUAAUCGGAAUUACUGGGCGUAAAGGGUGCGUAGGUGGGUUGAUAAGUUAGAUGUGAAAUACCUGGGCUUAACCUGGGAUGGUCAUUUAAUACUGUUGACCUAGAGUAUGGUAGAGGGUAGUGGAAUUUCCGGUGUAGCGGUGAAAUGCGUAGAUAUCGGAAGGAACAUCAAUGGCGAAGGCAGCUACCUGGACUGAUACUGACACUGAGGCACGAAAGCGUGGGUAGCAAACAG
RNAcentral lists this ribosomal RNA (428 nucleotides) under uncultured bacterium. RNAcentral's name for it is "bacterial SSU rRNA". It matches the Rfam family "Bacterial small subunit ribosomal RNA", at positions 355 to 775 of the family's 1533-position model. The record is from RNAcentral.